GACGAACGCUGGCGGCGUGCCUAAUACAUGCAAGUCGAGCGGACCAAAGGGAGCUUGCUCCUGGAGGUUAGCGGCGAACGGGUGAGUAACACGUGGGCAACCUGCCUGUAAGACUGGGAUAACAUCGAGAAAUCGGUGCUAAUACCGGAUAAUAAAAAGAACUGCAUGGUUCUUUUUGAAAGAUGGUUUCGGCUAUCACUUACAGAUGGGCCCGCGGCGCAUUAGCUAGUUGGUGAGGUAACGGCUCACCAAGGCGACGAUGCGUAGCCGACCUGAGAGGGUGAUCGGCCACACUGGGACUGAGACACGGCCCAGACUCCUACGGGAGGCAGCAGUAGGGAAUCUUCCGCAAUGGACGAAAGUCUGACGGAGCAACGCCGCGUGAGUGGUGAAGGUUUUCGGAUCGUAAAACUCUGUUGUUAGGGAAGAACAAGUGCCGUUCGAAAGGGCGGCACCUUGACGGUACCUAACGAGAAAGCCACGGCUAACUACGUGCCAGCAGCCGCGGUAAAGUA
Molecule: ribosomal RNA, 515 nt
Filed under: uncultured bacterium
Lineage: Bacteria
Description: bacterial SSU rRNA
Rfam family: Bacterial small subunit ribosomal RNA
Source: RNAcentral